UGGCGGCGUGGAUUAGGCAUGCAAGUCGAACGCGAAAGUUCCCUUCGGGGAGCGAGUAGAGUGGCGAAAGGGUGAGUAAUGCUUGGAUGACCUGCCCUCGAGACGGGGACAACAGUUCGAAAGGACUGCUAAUACCCGAUAGUCCGGUUUAGAUGCGUCUAGAUCGGUAAAUGGUGCUUCCGCUCGAGGAGGGGUUCAAGUCCUAUCAGCUUGUUGGUGAGGUAACGGCUCACCAAGGCGAUGACGGGUAGCCGGACUGAGAGGUUGGCCGGCCACAUGGGAACUGAGACACUGUCCUGACUCCUACGGGAGGCUGCAGUCGAGAAUCUUCUGCAAUGGGCGAAAGCCUGACAGAGCGACGCCGCGUGGAGGAUGAAGGCCCUCGGGUCGUAAACUCCUGUCACAUGUUAUGAAACGCACAGGUCUACCUGUGCGCUGACAAAAGCAUGAGAGGAAGUCACGGCUAACUUCGUG
This 474-nucleotide ribosomal RNA is filed under the name uncultured bacterium. Its description in RNAcentral is "bacterial SSU rRNA". It matches the Rfam family "Bacterial small subunit ribosomal RNA", at positions 37 to 507 of the family's 1533-position model. The record is from RNAcentral.